RNAcentral lists this ribosomal RNA (343 nucleotides) under Damaliscus pygargus dorcas (bontebok). RNAcentral describes it as "partial 16S ribosomal RNA". It matches the Rfam family "Archaeal large subunit ribosomal RNA", at positions 2043 to 2553 of the family's 2987-position model. The record is from RNAcentral. Lineage: Eukaryota; Metazoa; Chordata; Mammalia; Artiodactyla; Bovidae.
CAUUUGUUCUCUAAAUAAGGACUUGUAUGAAUGGCCACACGAGGGUUUUACUGUCUCUUACUUCUAAUCAGUGAAAUUGACCUCCCCGUGAAGAGGCGGGGAUAAACAAACAAGACGAGAAGACCCUAUGGAGCUUUAACUAACUGAUCCAAAGAGAACAAAACCUAACCACCAAGGGACAACAACACUACUUAUGGAUCAGCAGUUUCGGUUGGGGUGACCUCGGAGAAUAAAAAAUCCUCCGAACGAUUUUAAAGACCAGACCUACAAGUCAAAUCAAAUUAUCGAUUAUUGAUCCAAUAACUUGAUCAACGGAAUAAGUUACCCUAGGGAUAACAGCGCA